UACGUAGGGUGCGAGCGUUAAUCGGAAUUACUGGGCGUAAAGCGUGCGCAGGCGGUUUUGUAAGCCAGAUGUGAAAGCCCCGGGCUUAACCUGGGAAUGGCAUUUGGGACUGCAAGGCUUGAGUGCGGCAGAGGAGACUGGAAUCCCGGUGUAGCAGUGAAAUGCGUAGAUAUCGGGAGGAAUACCGAUGGCGAAGGCAGGUCUCUGGGCUGACACUGACGCUCAUGCACGAAAGCGUGGGGAGCAAACAGGA
This 253-nucleotide ribosomal RNA is filed under the name uncultured bacterium. RNAcentral's name for it is "partial 16S ribosomal RNA". It matches the Rfam family "Bacterial small subunit ribosomal RNA", at positions 524 to 777 of the family's 1533-position model. The record is from RNAcentral.